CUCCCUUUAGGAAGUUCACUAGCUGCAUGACAGAAACGCUGCAAAAAGACAUCUGGGGGUCUGAAGGACAAAAGUCAAAGUUGAUGGAUCAUAACCCGUCUGUGCUGCAAGCCUACCAAGCCGAACAAGAAAGAGAGAGAAGGAAGCUUCGUGAGGUGAGAAACCUGGAGAAGAAAGCAGAGAGAGCAGCAAUGAGAGCUCAUUUUAGGAGGAAAUAUCACCUCCCUACAAAUCCUGAAGACUCGAGGCACGUACAAGCCACAGUUCGGAACGUCUUCAUC
Long non-coding RNA from Silurus meridionalis, 281 nucleotides. RefSeq lists it as uncharacterized. Lineage: Eukaryota; Metazoa; Chordata; Actinopteri; Siluriformes; Siluridae. The record is from RefSeq and is a predicted model, not a curated record. The transcript is spliced from 3 exons.